GAUAAUAAUUUAAAGUCUGACCUGCCCACUGAUAAUAAUUAAAGGGCCGCAGUAUUUUGACUGUGCAAAGGUAGCAUAAUCAUUAGUCUUUUAAUUGAGGACUGGUAUGAAUGGUUUAACGAAAUAUUAACUGUCUCAUAAUAAUAAUAUAGAAUUUAACUUUUAAGUCAAAAGGCUUAAAUGUAAUUAGAGGACGAGAAGACCCUAUAGAGCUUGAUAUUUAUAUUUUUAAAUUUUAUUUAGAUGUUUAUAAUUUUUAAAUUUAAGAAUAUUUUAUUGGGGUGAUAAGAAGAUAUAAAUAACUCUUUAGUUAUAUAAACAUUAAUUUAUGAAUAAUUGAUCCAUUAAUAAUGAUUAUAAGAUUAAGUUACCUUAGGGAUAACAGCGUAAUAUUUUUUAAGAGUUCUUAUCAACAAAAAAGAUUGCGACCUCGAUGUUGGAUUAAGGUAAUAAUUGGGUGUAGAAGUUCAAAUUUUAGGUCUGUUCGACCUUUAAAUCCUUACAUGAUCUGAGUU
This 515-nucleotide ribosomal RNA is filed under the name Dolichopoda vandeli. RNAcentral's name for it is "partial 16S ribosomal RNA". It matches the Rfam family "Bacterial large subunit ribosomal RNA", at positions 1838 to 2611 of the family's 2925-position model. Lineage: Eukaryota; Metazoa; Arthropoda; Insecta; Orthoptera; Rhaphidophoridae. The record is from RNAcentral.